Molecule: unclassified non-coding RNA, 112 nt
Organism: Aotus nancymaae (Ma's night monkey)
Lineage: Eukaryota; Metazoa; Chordata; Mammalia; Primates; Aotidae
Rfam family: Y RNA
About the family: Y RNAs are components of the Ro ribonucleoprotein particle (Ro RNP), in association with Ro60 and La proteins. The Y RNAs and Ro60 and La proteins are well conserved, but the function of the Ro RNP is not known. In humans the RNA component can be one of four small RNAs -- hY1, hY3, hY4 and hY5.
Source: Ensembl
AACUGGUCUGAAAAUAGUGAGUUAUCUCAAUUCAUUGUUCCCUGUCAAUUACAGAUCCAGCUCCUUGUUCUACUCUUUGCCCCUUCUUACUGCUACACUUGAAUAAUCUAAA